This 460-nucleotide ribosomal RNA is filed under the name uncultured bacterium. Its description in RNAcentral is "partial 16S ribosomal RNA". It matches the Rfam family "Bacterial small subunit ribosomal RNA", at positions 338 to 795 of the family's 1533-position model. The record is from RNAcentral.
CCUACGGGGGGCUGCAGUGAGGAAUAUUGGUCAAUGGGCUUACGCCUGAACCAGCCAAGUCGCGUGAGGGAAGACUGCCCUAUGGGUUGUAACCCUCUUUUGUCAGGGAGCAAUGGGCGCUACGUGUAGCGUUAUCGAGAGUACCUGAAGAAAAAGCAUCGACUACCUCCGUGCCAGCGGCCGCGGGAAUACUGAGGAUGCGAGCGUUAUCCGGAUUUAUGGGGUUUAAAGGGUGCGUAGGCGGAAUGCCAAGUCAGCGGUAAAGUCGCGGGGCUCAAUCUCGCUCGGCAGUUGAAACUGGCGUUCUUGAGUGGGCGAGAGGUAGGCGGAAUGCGUGGUGUAGCGGUGAAAUGCAUAGAUAUCACGCAGAACGCCGAUUGCGAAGGCAGCAUACCGGCGCCCAACUGACGCUGAAGCACGAAAGCGUGGGUAUCGAACAGGAUUAGAUACCCGAGUAGUC